GUUCUUUUUUGUUGUUGUUAUUCUUUGCGUCAUUUCCAGAGAGACAGGAAGGAAAACAUAGUAAACAUUCUUCAAUUCUGCACAAAAGCCGAGAAGGGAUUUUCUUCAGGAACCUCCUUGUGGCUCUGCCAUGGCGGGGAGGGUUGGGGGUAAGAAAUAUAAGACCCAAUUCCCUGUGGAGGCGGGGAUUCGGUGAAACCAAUCCCUUGAAUGUGGGGUGGAACCAACAUGUAACUCAAUUUGCUUUGGCUCUCACUGUGCAUUUGAGCUAAAGCAAGGGAAGCAUUUCCCCUUCCCCUGGCUGAAAGCUCAGCUGACCCCGAGGCUCUUCUGGUCAUGCUUAGAGUGGGCCCUACAUCCAAUGACUGGUGUUCUCAUAAGGAGAGAGAGACAAAGAGUAGACAGACACAAGGGAGAAGGCCGUGUGAAGAUGGAGACAGAGAUUGGAAUGAUACAGCCACAAGCCAAGAAACAUCUGCGGCCGUCAGAAGUUGGAAGAGGCAAGGAAUGAUUUAUUCUUUCCCACUCAUUGUUUCACCAAUGAGCACCUUCCAUGUGCCACCGUUCUGACCCUGCUGACAAUGUGGUUUCAGACUUCUGGCCCCCAGAACUGUGAAAGAGUAAAUUUCUGUUAAGUUAUCUUGCUUGUGGUACUUUGUUACAGCAGCCCUGUGGAUCUAAUAUAGUCAUAAGAGACAUUGUGACCUCCUCCCUGCUCUCUUGAACCACUCAUUCUGGGAGAAGUCAGCUGCCAUGUCAUGAAGCUACUCAGGGAGGUCCAUGGAGAGGUCCACAUGGCAAGGAACUGAGGCCUCCUGCCAGUAGCCAGCACCAUCUUGCUGGCCAUGUGAGCGUGCCAUCUUAGAUGCAGAUCAUACGGCCCCAGUCAAGCCUUCAAAUGACUGCAUCCCUACUUGACAUUUUGACUGUAACCUCAUGACAAACCCUAAGCCAGAACACCAGCUAAGCCACUCCCCAAUUCCUCAUCAAGAGAAACUGAGAUAAUAAAUGUUUAUUAUUGUUUUAAGCUACUAAAUUUUGAGGUAAUCUGUUAUGUAGCAAUAGAUAACUAAUACUGAUAUCUGUCAUAUUGGGGCCUCAGUGUAACUUGGAACAGAAAGAGUUCCAUAUUAUAAUUCUUAAACAUUACUUGGAAUGGUUAGGGGCCCCAGUGCUAUUCUCUCUGGGGAUAUUUCCAGCAAUGGGCCCCACAGCCAUUUAUAGUGAGUUGUCCCACUUACUCUUUCACCAGUGAGCACUUUCCAUGUGUCAGAUGCCAUAUUAGAGACUGGGGCUAUAGAAAUGAACAGUCUUUUGGGAGGCCGAGGCAGGUGGAUCACCUGAGGUCAAGAAUUUGAGACCAGUCUGACCAACAUGGAGAAACCCCGUCUCUACUAAAAAAAAAAAAAAUACAAAAUUAGCUGGGUGUGGUGGUGCAUGCCUGUAAUCCCAGCUACUUGGGAGGCUGAGGCAGGAGAAUCACUUGAACCUGAGAGGCGGAGGUUGUGGUAAGCCAAGAUUACACCAUUGCACUCCAGCCUGGGCAACAAGAGUGAAAUUCCAUCUCAAAAAAAGAAAAAAAAGAAAUGAACAGCCCUGUUCUUAAUCACUUAACCAGUGGUCAUUAUGGUCUCUGCUAGUAGAGCACUAUGGGCAAGAAGGACAGCACUGCUUUGCAGGGAAGGGAAAAGAGAGACAUCACUGAGGCACUGAAGAGGAGAAGCAUUCAGUGGUAUGACCUUGAAGAGACAAGAAGAGGACCAAGUUCAAGAGUCUGCAAGAACAGUGGGAGGUAGAGCUGGAACUAGAAUCCAGACACCCCACUUCUAGUCUUGAAUUUGCGCUUCCUGAACUACACAGAGGCUGGCUCAUGGUACCAGGGUCUCUAAAGAUACCUGGAGGCAUGAACUUGAAUCCUGCUGGGAUACUACUCUUUGAAUAAUAAUUUCUCUAUGGAAAGGCAGGGUACAAAGUCUUGGAAUCUUGUUUCUGCUCUGCCAUCUUAGCUAAAUAACUCCCUUUGGAGAUCCUUUGAACCCUGAUAGAUCAGCAAGCCCCCUCUGAAACAUCAUAAGCCUCAGGGCAAGAAGGCUGGCCUUCUCCUCCAUCUGAAUCCCAGCCCUUCUUUUUUUGAGAUGGAGUUUUGCUCUUGUUGCCCAGGCUGGAGUGCAAUGGCGCGAUCUCGGCUCACCACAACCUCUGCCUCCUGGGUUCUAGCGAUUCUCCUGCCUCAGCCUCCUGAGUAGCUGGGAUUACAGGCAUGCAAAACCAUGCCCUGCUAAUUUUGUAUUUUAAGUAGAGACAGGGUUUCUCCAUGUUGGAAAGGCUGGUCUUGAACUCUCGACUUCAGGUGAUCCGCCCGCCUCUAGCCCUUCUUAGUAGUGGUGUUUUCUAAACAGGUUAGAUAAGAAUUUGACACCUGCUGAAAUCUCCAGGCUGGCUCCUCCCAAGGUCAAAUUGCACAUCUUGCCAACGAGAACAGCCUUCACUUCUUGAGCAUCUACUCAGCAGCAAGUGAUUUCUCUAAUCUUCACAACACCCUCUCAAGGCAAGGGAUCAUGGGCCACACUUGGCAAUCUAGGAAAGUGAAGUUCAAGAACAAGCCCCAGGACACACAGCUAGUGACAGCGAGGCACAGAGCUGGGAUUCCAACCCAGGCCUGUCUAACCCUAAAGCUCCUCCUAUCCACCUCCUCCUUGCUGCCACAGAAGGUGACUCAGAGGUACUCAGUCUGGAGAAUUCAAGCCAGUAUCCCAGGAAGUGGAAUUUUCUCCAGUGUUCUAGGAAGGAGGGAUUACCAUGGCAUGGGGUGGGCCAGGUAGACACAAGAGGCAGUGAAGGUGCAUAAAGUGGUGAUUAAAGGGAAUGGAGUCUACUGUGGUUUGGAUAUGGUUGCGUCAACCUAAACUCAUGUUGAAAUUUGACCCUCGGUGUGGUGGUGGUGGGAGGUGGGGCCUAGUGGGAGGUGUCUGGGUCAUGGGGGCAGAUCUCUCAUGAAGGGCUUAGUGCCAUCCUCACAGUGGAGAGUGAGUUUUCACCCUGGCAAGACUGGAUUCUUGUAGGAAUGGAUUUGUUCCCAAGACAGUGGGUUGUUAUAAAGCCAGGAUGCCCCUUGGGUUUUCCCUUCUUUGCAAGUGUUCACUCUCCCUUUGACCUUCUGUAUGUCGCAGCCCUCACCAGAGGCUGAGCAGAUGCUGAGGCCAUGCUUCUUGAUUCUCCCAGCCAACAGAUCUGAUGUCACUAUCAAUCACGCUUCGACUGAGUACAGCCAAACCAGGAUACUCAGGGACUUGGAAUCUGUUACCAGACUUUUAUUUAGUACAGACACAGCGCCAGGGGGCUGAGCAUUCUUCAGCAACACCCUUUGGACCCCUUUCUACACCAUCAUGCUGUAUGAACAGAAGGGUUGGGGACAUGAAGGAGCAGCUCAGCUAAGGUGACCCAGAUGGUUGGGCUCAGAGCUGGAAGAACACCGUGGUCUUCUGACUCCCAAUUCCUGCAUCUGUCCUGCUUGUAAGAGGCUUGCCAAGAACAGGAGCUUUUGUUUGUAGGUCUCUAGGGAUGGCCACCACAGGGAGUGUGAUUUGAAGAUGGGGUCGGCGUGACAUUACAGGCCCCCUUUAGGCUCUGCUGGGUUGCAGGCCAGCUCUCUGGGCUGCCUUUCUGAUGGCUGCUAUUUUAAAGGCAGAUAGGAUGAAGUUAGCAACAACUUAUAUCAUUAAACUAGCAAGGGCUCAGGAGGGGCAGCCCCCUUCUGGGAAUGUGCCUAGCUCCUGCUCCAGAAUGGAGGAGUUUCUGUGGCUCUAGGAGAGCUGGCCUUCUAUGGAGUCUGAGCAAUGUACCGCACGGGGAGGAGAAGACGCUUCCAGAAGAUACCAGUGUUUCUAUCCAGAGACGUUUCCAGGACACCACGUUAAGCAGCAGAGACACUAGAAGCCAAGGCACCUAUGGUCUGGUGUGGAUGUGUGCCUCCUGUGCCUCAGUGGCAUCAUCCGUACCAUGGGAGGUGUGUAAUGAGGGGUGAGAUCACGUCUGUGAGGGCACGUACAUAGUAGAUGCCCAGGAAGUGCCAGUCCCCAUCUCCUUCCCAGUUUCUUCAAAGCCUUCUGGAAGGCACUGGCAUAGCCCAGUCCUGAGGCACUGCUUUUUCUUUCAUGGAUGAUCAGGAGCUUCUGUGAUUUCUUCCCCCUCACUCUUCAUUUUGCCAAGAUGUUGCCCAUAGUAACCUCAGCAGUGGAGCGAGGAUUCUGCACUGUUCCACUGCCCUGGGGCUGCACACCCACGUGAGCGGGGCCGACCCGUCCCAGAGCGCUUUGCCCUCAGAAGGCAGCAUCACCUGCAGGAGCAAUGCCAUGGACAGCUCUGGCUUGUCCUCCAGGGCCCUGGCAUGGUCAGUGAGAAAAUGCCCCUGGGGCAUGGGCUUCUCCUGUCAGUCAAGUUCAGAAGGCUUCCUGGGGUAGGUAGAGACGCUCCCUACCCAGCUGAGUUAUUGAAAUGAUAGGAGGGAGAAGGGAAGGUCUGGGCAUGUGGCACUGUGAUUUUUUUUUCUUUCUUCUUUUUUUUUUUUUUUUUUUUUGGAGACUCGGGGUAGAAAUGAGGACAGGAAGAAGUACAAUCCGUCUGGGAUUGGUUUAUUUUUAUUGCUUUUUAAAAUCAUGUGACUAAUUGGUGUUCAUUGAAAAAGAGAAAACAAAAAUAAGCCAAGAGAAGACAGCAAAAAUAAUCUGUUAACAUCUUGGCAAAUAUCCUUUUUCUCUGCAUAGAAACGGAGAAUACUUUUGUUUCACUUAUAAAAUGUUUCUUAAUGUACACAGCUUUAUAACCUGCUUUUUGCUUAAUGGGACAAUAUACUAGGACAUGUUUUCAGGCCAACAGAUAAAUAUACUUCACUUGCAU
RNAcentral lists this long non-coding RNA (4896 nucleotides) under Homo sapiens (human). RNAcentral describes it as "HSALNT0213487". The record is from RNAcentral. Lineage: Eukaryota; Metazoa; Chordata; Mammalia; Primates; Hominidae.